Molecule: ribosomal RNA, 253 nt
Filed under: uncultured bacterium
Lineage: Bacteria
Description: partial 16S ribosomal RNA
Rfam family: Bacterial small subunit ribosomal RNA
Source: RNAcentral
UACGGAGGGGGCAAGCGUUAUUCGGAAUUAUUGGGCGUAAAGGGCGCGUAGGCGGCUAGAUGUGUCAAAGGUGAAAUCCCUCGGCUCAACUGAGGAACUGCCUUUGAAACUGUCUGGCUUGAGGCCGGGAGAGGGUAGCGGAAUUCCCAGUGUAGCGGUGAAAUGCAUAGAUAUUGGGAGGAACACCAGUGGCGAAGGCGGCUACCUGGACCGGUUCUGACGCUGAGGCGCGAAAGCGUGGGUAGCAAACAGG